RNAcentral lists this unclassified non-coding RNA (229 nucleotides) under rhizosphere metagenome. Its description in RNAcentral is "partial ribosomal RNA internal transcribed spacer region". The record is from RNAcentral.
GUAGGUGAACCUGCGGAAGGAUCAUUAUCGAGUUAGGGUCUUUGGCCCGAUCUCCAACCCUGUGCCUAACUACCAUGUUGCUUUGGCGGGCCCGUCUGUCACAGGCCGCCGGAGGUCCAGCACCUCUGGCCCGUGUCCGCCAGUAGCCUUCUCUAAACUCAAUGUAACUGUGCCGUCUAAGUACAAAUAUAAAUCGUUAAAACUUUCAACAACGGAUCUCUUGGUUCUG